CUUGAAAUUCUCCAAGUGAGGUAAGUCAAUUCAAUCUAAUUCUUUAGUGAGAUUGAUUAAGUAUAAUGAAGAAUUAAUUGAUUAUGUAAAAGAAAUUGAAAAAAAAAUUCAUAUAGAGGGACCCCAUGAAUUCGGCUAGCUUGAUGUCAAGUAGGGAAUUGAUGUGAAUUGAUUGAAUUAAAUGUGUGAGUAUGCUUGAAUGAGUGUGUAGAUACAAUUUAUACACUUUGAUUUCAUGAUUUGAAGCUAUUGAGGAAUUAGGGUUCUUGAACCAUGGGAAAUUGGGG
This 287-nucleotide unclassified non-coding RNA is filed under the name Hevea brasiliensis (rubber tree). Lineage: Eukaryota; Viridiplantae; Streptophyta; Magnoliopsida; Malpighiales; Euphorbiaceae. The record is from RNAcentral.